AAUAAAAGGAGUGCCAAUAUGGGGGUAGGUACAGAAAAUGUGGCCAUUUCAGCAAUGAUGUAUCGCAAUCAAAGGAAGCAAAACACCAUCAUGAACAAUAAAAAAGUGACGGGCACACAAAUCAAGUUUAUAGUUGAAUCCUCUUCCAUUCCUCCCAAUGUAUAAUAACAGGGGAUCAAAAACUAAUGCAUGGGAACUAAAUAACAAAGCAGGCAAAACACACAUAAAUUUCAGAAGCGCAUACACUUACUUGUACUGAACAGCUACAACAAGAAUCGUUUCAUGGACUGAGCACCAUAAAUUGGUAUGGUUAGGAGCAACGGCCUUGAAGCAAU
RNAcentral lists this long non-coding RNA (335 nucleotides) under Linum usitatissimum (flax). RNAcentral describes it as "long non-coding RNA (LUSI_LNC001130)". The record is from RNAcentral. Lineage: Eukaryota; Viridiplantae; Streptophyta; Magnoliopsida; Malpighiales; Linaceae.